GAGGGUGGAGCUCAGUGAUAGAGCAUGUGCUUAGCAUGCACGAGGUCCUGGGUUCAUUCCCCCAGUGCCUCCA
This 73-nucleotide transfer RNA is filed under the name Camelus bactrianus (Bactrian camel). It matches the Rfam family "tRNA". From Rfam's summary of the family: Transfer RNA (tRNA) molecules are approximately 80 nucleotides in length. Their secondary structure includes four short double-helical elements and three loops (D, anti-codon, and T loops). RNAcentral also lists the same sequence under 2 other names. Lineage: Eukaryota; Metazoa; Chordata; Mammalia; Artiodactyla; Camelidae. The record is from Rfam by way of RNAcentral.